AACCAGCACCUCAAGUGGUCAGGAUGAUUAUUGGGCCUAAAGCAUCCGUAGCCUGUUAUGUAAGUUUUCGGUUAAAUCUAUGCGCUCAACGUAUAGGCUGCCGAAAAUACUGCAUGACUAGGGAGUGGGAGAGGUAGACGGUACUCGGUAGGAAGGGGUAAAAUCCUUUGAUCUAUUGAUGACCACCUGUGGCGAAGGCGGUCUACCAGAACACGUUCGACGGUGAGGGAUGAAAGCUGGGGGAGCAAACCGG
RNAcentral lists this ribosomal RNA (253 nucleotides) under uncultured bacterium. RNAcentral's name for it is "partial 16S ribosomal RNA". It matches the Rfam family "Archaeal small subunit ribosomal RNA", at positions 474 to 727 of the family's 1478-position model. RNAcentral also lists the same sequence under 1 other name. The record is from RNAcentral.